Molecule: ribosomal RNA, 832 nt
Filed under: archaeon enrichment culture clone B02_3132
Lineage: Archaea
Also listed under: 41 other names
Description: bacterial SSU rRNA
Rfam family: Archaeal small subunit ribosomal RNA
Source: RNAcentral
GGCUACUGCUAUUGGGAUUCGACUAAGCCAUGCGAGUCAAGGUGUCUUCGGACGCCGGCGUACGGCUCAGUAACACGUAGGUAACCUACCCUCAGGACUGAGAUAACCCCGGGAAACUGGGGCUAAUAUUAGAUAGAUAAAAGAUACUGGAAUGUUCUUUUAUCCAAAGCUUUUGCGCCUGAGGAUGGGCCUGCGUCCGAUUAGGUUGUUGGUGGGGUAAUGGCCCACCAAGCCUACGAUCGGUACGGGCAGUGAGAGCUGAAGCCCGGAGUUGGGGACUGAGACAAGGCCCCAGGCCCUACGGGGCGCAGCAGGCGCGAAACCUCUGCAAUGCGGGAAACCGUGACAGGGGGAUCCCAAGUGCUCAUGCAUUGCAUGGGCUGUUCUUUGGUCUAAGUAACCAGAGGAGUAAGGGCUGGGCAAGACCGGUGCCAGCCGCCGCGGUAAUACCGGCAGCUCAAGUGGUAGCCGCGAUUAUUGGGCCUAAAGCGUUCGUAGCCGGAUAAGUAAGUCUUUGGUUAAAUCCUGCGACUUAACCGUGGGAAAUCUAGAGAUACUGCUUGUCUUGAGACCGGGAGAGGUUGGAGGUACUCCCAGGGUAGGGGUGAAAUCCUGUAAUCCUGGGGGGACCACCUGUGGCGAAGGCGUCCAACUGGAACGGGUCUGACGGUGAGGGACGAAACCUAGGGGAGCGAGCCGGAUUAGAUACCCGGGUAGUCCUAGGCGUAAAUGAUGCGAGUUAAGUGUGGGGGCAUCCACGAGAUGGCCCUGUGCUGUAGGGUAGCCGUUAAACUCGCCGCCUGGGGAGUACGGUCGCAAGGCUGAAACUUAA